UACGGGGGGGGCAAGCGUUGUUCGGAAUUACUGGGCGUAAAGGGCUCGUAGGUGGCCAACUAAGUCGGACGUGAAAUCCCUCGGCUUAACCGGGGAACUGCGUCUGAUACUGGAUGGCUUGAGUUUGGGAGAGGGACGCGGAAUUCCAGGUGUAGCGGUGAAAUGCGUAGAUAUCUGGAGGAACACCGGUGGCGAAGGCGGCGUCCUGGACCAACACUGACACUGAGGAGCGAAAGCCAGGGGAGCAAACGGG
RNAcentral lists this ribosomal RNA (253 nucleotides) under uncultured bacterium. RNAcentral's name for it is "partial 16S ribosomal RNA". It matches the Rfam family "Bacterial small subunit ribosomal RNA", at positions 524 to 776 of the family's 1533-position model. The record is from RNAcentral.